CCCCCUGUGGGGCGAAAACAGUCUUGGUUACACAAGCCAGAAUUCGUGAUUACAGGCGUGUUCUCCGGAGGGCACAAAGGCUUAAGGUGUGUCAGGGCCCAGCUCUGAAGCCAGUGAGCUGGAUAAAUCAUACUAAUUAGCUCAUUUUGCUACUUGCACUGGGCGCAGAGAGCAACACAAGACAUUAAGAACUGUCUGGCUCCAGGAAAGCUGCAGGCCUGCCACCUGGCUGUCCCUCCCGCCAACUUUUAAGCAUCCACCACAACCUUUCAAGCCCACCUCCACAGCUCUAAAGUCCAGAGAUCUGUCUGGUGUUUGAGGACCACCAAAGUGCUCAUGACUCGGAAUCCUUUGGCCAAUAUCAAAUUGUACAGUGGUGUUGGGCUUGCAGGGAUUCCCUAGAAAAACGUGUGGCCACAGUUUUGAGCAGGGACCUGGAAUGAGAAAGUGGCCUGGCAAAACUUGAGUUUGCCCCAGAAAACAAUACGACAGAGACCUGGAGAAGACAGCAAUGAUGACCAGCAGGAGAUUAGUAAUCAAUAAGGAAUGAAAAUAAGGGGAGAUAGAAGCGUGGUACAGAGCAGAGAAUUUUAGCAACAUGAGGACUAGCAGCUUGAUGGAGAGCAGCAGAGUUUAGCCCAAACAGAUCGUGCGAGAAGAGUGUGGAUGGAAAGGUAAAGUGGGAAUGACCUCAGAGGCAAAGAAGAUGCUGAGAGAGCCAGCCGCGUGGGAGGAGAACAGGCCCAGGAUGGAGAACGUUACCCGUGCAGAAUCGUUGAGAUCUGUGAUGAGGAGGAAGGCCAACGUUAAAAAGGGAAGGAAUGCAAAGAUGUGACCUAUGCUGGGGGGAGGAAAGGGUUGAACAGGCCAGGUCCGGUCCUAAGCCCUCUGAAACCGAAAAGGGAUAUCAAUCUAUUCAUUCAUUCAUUCGAUUUCCAUACCGCCCUUCCAAAAAUGGCUCAGGGCGGUUUACACAGAGAAAUAAUAAAUAAAUAAUUUGUGUUGAAAUGUAUAGAUUUCUACUGGGAAAUAUCCAGUUCAGAGCACAAAUUCAUUAGAAUAUUACUGAUAAUCUAUACGCAUAACUAUUUGUGCAUCCUCAGGGGUGCUGAAGAGAACUGAGUAUUAUUAGACUUUUGUAUAAUUGAGGGCCAAUGACCGAAAGCAGCAAGGUUACCGUUUAUGUUGUAAAUUUAAUCUGAUUCAAAACUGUGUUCUGGUUUAAGGAAAUAUUUAAUUUCAAUCAUAUUGUAUUUGUUACUAGAUUCAUUUCAAUAGUUGGUUUAGGGAAUUGUGCAGCCAUGGGUGGGAGUUCUAGUGUCCAACAAGCCUGAACCCGCCUGCUCCUUAAGAGGAGCGGGGGGUUACUCUAGCACGUGUGAAAUGUUCCCAGCCCGUUUCCACAGGACAGCCUUACAUUCUUCCAGCCCCAGCAAGAUGAGGGAGGCGAUGCCCGUCAGCGUGGUGGUGAGCAGAAGGAUCCCACGGCGGCCAUACCGGUCCACGCUCAGGCACAGGAAGAGGCAGGCCAGGCCUGCACUGCCGGUCGACAGCAGGUACAAGAGGUAGAACUUGCUGGCCAAGGUUUUCCUGUGCCUCCAGGACCUCACAGCUGUCCCAACGUUUCCCCGCAGAAGAGGCAAACAUGAGGAGGGAGACCACUAAAGAGGCUAGUUGCUUCCGCUUGAAAAAAACCUUAAUGCACUUGAACUCUUUUACUCUUCUCACUGAGAAGAAAUUACAACUUCAGCGGGAAAAGGAAUACGGAGAAGAAUUGAAACAGAUUUUGGAAAAUGAAAUCUUAAGGGAAUCCUCAUCCAGAUUUGGUUGCCAAAGUUCCAAUUUGUAUUGUCUGAAUUCAAAGGACCACUUAAAGACGCUGUUAGUUUUUUUAGUGGAGGGAGGAAGGGUUUGCUUGUUUUACAUCAAGGUGUAUAUUGAAUUUGGUCAGUUGAUACAUCAUUGUCUUAAUUUUUAUCAACAAAAUUUAGGAUUUCAUUGUUUGAAGUAUCUCUCAAAAAAGAGUGAAAUCUGAAAAUAUUCAAAAAGUUACAUUCUGAAGAAAGAUGUAUUAUUCUUGGUGAAAUGUGUCCUUUACUUUUUUUGUAAAAGGCAAAAUCUAGGUGAUCAGAAAAAUCCCAAAGGAAGAUAAAAUUUAAAUAAUGUUGUACUAAAUUCUAAAGUACAAACAUGAUCAGACUACAUUUCCUUUUUAAGAAUGAUGGUCAACCACUAGCAUUAAAGAGAAUGAUUAGAUUAAAAAUCUCCAAGGAAGUCCUACUACUUUGCAUAUAAUUUCUUGCAAAGUUUGACUUUAGCUUUCCCAGACUAUUGACAUCCCCUCCUCUUAAUUAAAUGCAUUUACUUCCUUGAAUCCCUCCUCAGAAUCCACUUUUCCCAUUAAGCCUUUGACUGUCAGUGACAUUAGGACAGGGUUUCUCAAACUUGGGUCCCCAGAUGUUGCCCAUCAACCCCAACCACAACAGCCAAUUAGAAAGAUGGAAGUGAUAGUCCAACAACAUCUGGAGACCCAAUUUUGAAAACCCCUGUUCUAUCAUAACAAAGCUGCUGUGUGUAUAACUGAAAUAAUAACAUACCAUUCCCCUGCUUUUUCUCUCCCUUAUGUUGAUUUCCAGAUUGUAAACUCCUUGGGGCAGGUUGCUGUCCUCUCAAUCUUUAUAAAGUUCCAUGUGCAUGGAUUGUGACCCAUAAAUAAAUGAACAGCACUCCUUUUCUUUUCCUAA
Long non-coding RNA from Hemicordylus capensis (graceful crag lizard), 2744 nucleotides. RefSeq lists it as uncharacterized. Lineage: Eukaryota; Metazoa; Chordata; Lepidosauria; Squamata; Cordylidae. The record is from RefSeq and is a predicted model, not a curated record. The transcript is spliced from 3 exons.